AACGCACGAGACCUGCGGACCUGCGGAGGGAUCAUUACAGAGUGUUUACCCCCCCGUAAAAAGGGGGGCUAACCUCCCGUCCUUUGUUGGACCCCCCUUUUGGAGGGUUUUUUCAAAACUUUUGCUUCGGUGGGGUUACCCGCCGGAACACCCUCAAAAAAUUCUUGGUCAAAAUUGUUCAGUCCGAGAAGCUUUUUUUAAAAAUUUAGCAAAAAACUUUUAACAACGGAUCUCUAGAUC
This 240-nucleotide unclassified non-coding RNA is filed under the name soil metagenome. RNAcentral's name for it is "partial contains 5.8S ribosomal RNA, internal transcribed spacer 2, and large subunit ribosomal RNA". The record is from RNAcentral.